CGGACGGGUGAGUAAUGUCUGGGAAACUGCCUGAUGGAGGGGGAUAACUACUGGAAACGGUAGCUAAUACCGCAUAAUGUCUGCGGACCAAAGCGGGGGACCUCCGGGCCUCGCGCCAUCAGAUGAACCCAUAUGGGAUUAGCUUGUAGGUAAGGUAACGGCUUACCUAGGCGACGAUCCCUAGCUGGUCUGAGAGGAUGACCAGCCACACUGGAACUGAGACACGGUCCAG
Molecule: ribosomal RNA, 232 nt
Filed under: uncultured bacterium
Lineage: Bacteria
Description: partial 16S ribosomal RNA
Rfam family: Bacterial small subunit ribosomal RNA
Source: RNAcentral